Molecule: small RNA, 105 nt
Filed under: bovine gut metagenome
Description: RT-5 RNA
Rfam family: RT-5 RNA
About the family: Clostridium (Firmicutes). Environment (Cow rumen (57))
Source: RNAcentral
UGUGCCUGUGGCGGACCCGGCACAGGCCAUAUAAUAUGGCUUCGCAGGCAGCCGGUCUGUGUACGGUCUGGUAUUUCCCGGAAUUUCCGGGAUUUAACGCUUUCU